AUAGUACUCCCUCCGUCUAUAAAAGGAUGUCUUAACUUUGACUAAAUUUGAAUGCAUUUAUACACUAAAUCAUGUCUAGAUACAUCUAAGUUUUUGACAAAAUUAAAACAUCUUUUGUUGGAUGGAGGGAGUACCAA
Brachypodium distachyon (stiff brome) is the source of this 137-nucleotide non-coding RNA. The record is from Rfam. Lineage: Eukaryota; Viridiplantae; Streptophyta; Magnoliopsida; Poales; Poaceae.